RNAcentral lists this unclassified non-coding RNA (369 nucleotides) under Acacia cincinnata. RNAcentral describes it as "partial external transcribed spacer". Lineage: Eukaryota; Viridiplantae; Streptophyta; Magnoliopsida; Fabales; Fabaceae. The record is from RNAcentral.
GCUGCUGCUGCCCGUCCACCGAACGGCCGGCAGGCGAUCCGCGUCGGUCGCGCUGGGUGGUAUGGCUCCCCAGAGGCCGGUUCUUGUGCUGCCUACCCCUUCAGGGGAAGCCGGCCGCUUGAUGCAAGCCUUCAUCCCGCGCCCCCCAACGGGCGCAGGAGGACAACGGAGCACCCCCCGCGUUCCACCGAGCCUCUCCUCGGUCGCGUGGCGCGCGGGGGCUGCGAUGCUCUCGGACCCAGCGAACGCCGUGGGCGAGGACUCACGUCCCAGUCCCGAUAGAAGCUCCCACAUAAUGCAUGACGGCCGCUCCCGUCCCCCGACCGCCCCGGCGGCGCGGGGGCGAGGCGCGGCGUCGCGGAGGAAUGC